RNAcentral lists this ribosomal RNA (458 nucleotides) under uncultured bacterium. RNAcentral's name for it is "SSU rRNA". It matches the Rfam family "Bacterial small subunit ribosomal RNA", at positions 26 to 518 of the family's 1533-position model. The record is from RNAcentral.
AGAAUCAACGCUGGCGGCGUGCCUAACACAUGCAAGUCGAACGAGAAAGGGGAGCAAUCCCUGAGUAAAGUGGCGACCGGGUGAGUAACACGUGACUAACCUACCUUCGAGUGGGGGAUAACCUCGGGAAACCGAGGCUAAUACCGCAUAACAUCGUGAGAUCAAAGCAGUAAUGCGCUGGAAGAGGGGGUCGCGGCUGAUUAGCUAGUUGGCGGGGUAAUGGCCCACCAAGGCGAAGAUCGGUAGCCGGCCUGAGAGGGCGCACGGCCACACUGGAACUGAAACACGGUCCAGACUCCUACGGGAGGCAGCAGUGGGAAUUUGCGCAAUGGGGGAAACCCUGACGCAGCAACGCCGCGUGGAGGAUGAAGUCCCUUGGGACGUAAACUCCUUUCGACCAAGACGAUAAUGACGGUACUGGUGGAAGAAGCACCGGCUAACUCUGUGCCAGCAGCCGC